RNAcentral lists this ribosomal RNA (477 nucleotides) under uncultured bacterium. RNAcentral's name for it is "partial 16S ribosomal RNA". It matches the Rfam family "Bacterial small subunit ribosomal RNA", at positions 28 to 507 of the family's 1533-position model. The record is from RNAcentral.
GAUGAACGCUGGCGGCGUGCCUAAUACAUGCAAGUCGAGCGAACAGACGAGGAGCUUGCGCCGCGGACGUUAGCCGAGCACGGGUGUGUAACGUGUGGAUAACCUACCUAUAAUACUGGGAUAACUACGGGACACGGGCGCAUAUACGGUAGGAUAUCUUGAACCGCGUGGGUCAAUAGUGAAAGACGGUUUUGUUGGCGGUUGUCGAGGGAUUUGCGCCGGAUCAGCUUGUUGGUAGGGUAGCGGCUUAUCAAGGCUACGACGCGUAGCCGGCCUGAGAGGGUGACCGGCCACAUUGGGACUGAGAUACGGCCCAGACUCCUACGGGAGGCAGCAGUGGGGAAUAUUGCACAAUGGGCGGAAGCCUGAUGCAGCAACGCCACGUGCGGGAUGACGGCCUUCGGGUUGUAAACCGCUUUCGCCUGUGACGAAGCGUGAGUGACGGUAAUGGGUAAAGAAGCACCGGCUAACUACGUG